RNAcentral lists this ribosomal RNA (439 nucleotides) under uncultured bacterium. Its description in RNAcentral is "bacterial SSU rRNA". It matches the Rfam family "Bacterial small subunit ribosomal RNA", at positions 958 to 1398 of the family's 1533-position model. The record is from RNAcentral.
AACGCGAAGAACCUUACCACCUUUUGACAUGCCCGGACCGCCACAGAGAUGUGGUCUUCCCUUCGGGGACCGGGACACAGGUGCUGCAUGGCUGUCGUCAGCUCGUGUCGUGAGAUGUUGGGUUAAGUCCCGCAACGAGCGCAACCCUCGCCUUUAGUUGCCAUCAUUAAGUUGGGAACUCUAAAGGUACCGCCGGUGGUAAGCCGGAGGAAGGUGGGGAUGAUGUCAAGUCCUCAUGGCCCUUACAAGGUGGGCUACACACGUGCUACAAUGGCGACUACAGAGGGCAGCAAACCAGCGAUGGGGAGCCAAUCCCUAAAAGUCGUCUCAGUUCGGAUUGCACUCUGCAACUCGAGUGCAUGAAGUCGGAAUCGCUAGUAAUGCUAUAUCAGAACGAUAGCGUGAAUACGUUCCCGGGCCUUGUACACACCGAGACGAC